Molecule: long non-coding RNA, 477 nt
Organism: Cygnus olor (mute swan)
Lineage: Eukaryota; Metazoa; Chordata; Aves; Anseriformes; Anatidae
Exons: 3
Source: RefSeq, a predicted model, not a curated record
UAUCACUUUUUACUGGUGUACUUCUUUUUCUUUGGAGAAUAACGUUUGCUGGUAGACUUUCAAGCCUUAAACACCAAAAAACACUAAUAAAUGCAUCAGAUAAGAAAUAUGCAAAAACGAGAAAACAUUUGUCUGGAGACCUACAGGGAUAACAAACUCUACAGGUAGAGAUGUUAAUUUUGGAUCAUGCUACCUCCAUAUUCCAAAUUAACUCAUAGGAUAACAACAUCCAAUCGUUUAUGACACCACAGUAAACACAACUACGUGUAUUCGGGGUGGAGGCUACAUCUGAGGCAAAAUACCCGUUUAAACAAAACUUCAUAUGACAACGUCUUGAAUCACGGCACUCGCUGGAGCAUGCACCUCACGUUACCAAUCUGAACAGGCACCUGUACUGUCUCCUGAGAUCUUCAGGUCAGCGCCAACACCACUGCACCUAACUGGCUUCAGCAGCCAUGAGAUGGGGAUCUCCAUCAC